Molecule: long non-coding RNA, 534 nt
Organism: Patella vulgata (common limpet)
Lineage: Eukaryota; Metazoa; Mollusca; Gastropoda; Patellidae
Exons: 5
Source: RefSeq, a predicted model, not a curated record
AAUUGUUACAUUGGAUUCGGCUUGCUUUUAUUGUACAUCGUCUCCAGUUCAACUCUAACUUUAGAACAACGUGAUGUCCGGGUCUAUUCUGUUGAUGAUAAUCUUGGUUAUGGUAGACGGUUCGAUGGAAUUGGUGGUAUAAGUGGAACUGCGACUUCUAAACUUCUUCGAAAUUACCCAGAUCAACAAAGAAAUGAAAUCCUCGAUUUCCUUUUCAAGCCCAAUUUUGGUGCCUCGAUAAAGAUUCUGAAAGUUGAAGUAGGGGCCGAUGCUGACACGACUGUUGGAACUGAAUCAUCUCACAUGCAUUAUCCAUGGGAUGAAAAUUAUAACCGUGGUUACGAAUGGUGGAUGAUGUCCGAAGCUAAAAAGAGAAAUCCCAAUAUCAAGUUGUAUGGUUUACCAUGGGGUUAUCCAGGAUGGCUACGGGAUGCCCAAGGAACACCAUGGGGAUUUCCUGAACGCACUGCCACUUAUAUGGUGAAAUGGAUCCGAGGAGCUAAACUGUACCAUAACCUGGACAUUGAUUAUAUU